Molecule: ribosomal RNA, 253 nt
Filed under: uncultured bacterium
Lineage: Bacteria
Description: partial 16S ribosomal RNA
Rfam family: Bacterial small subunit ribosomal RNA
Source: RNAcentral
UACAGAGGGUGCGAGCGUUGUUCGGAAUUAUUGGGCGUAAAGCGCGUGUAGGCGGCUUAGUAAGUUGGGUGUGAAAGCCCUCGGCUUAACCGAGGAAGUGCGCCCAAAACUGCUUGGCUUGAGUACCGGAGAGGGUGGCGGAAUUCCCGGUGUAGAGGUGAAAUUCGUAGAUGUCGGGAGGAACACCAGCGGCGAAGGCGGCCACCUGGACGGAUACUGACGCUGAGACGCGAAAGCGUGGGGAGCAAACAGG